CCUACGGGGGGCAGCAGUGAGGAAUAUUGGUCAAUGGACGAGAGUCUGAACCAGCCAAGUAGCGUGAAGGAUGACUGCCCUAUGGAUUGUAAACUUCUUUUAUAUGGGAAUAAAAUGUUCCACGUGUGGGAUUUUGUAUGUACCAUAUGAAUAAGGAUCGGCUAACUCCGUGCCAGCAGCCGCGGUAAUACGGAGGAUCCGAGCGUUAUCCGGAUUUAUUGGGUUUAAAGGGAGCGUAGGUGGAUUGUUAAGUCAGUUGUGAAAGUUUGCGGCUCAACCGUAAAAUUGCAGUUGAAACUGGCAGUCUUGAGUACAGUAGAGGUGGGCGGAAUUCGUGGUGUAGCGGUGAAAUGCUUAGAUAUCACGAAGAACUCCGAUUGCGAAGGCAGUUCACUGGACUGCAACUGACACUGAGGCUCGAAAGUGUGGGUAUCAAACAGGAUUAGAUACCCUUGUAGUC
RNAcentral lists this ribosomal RNA (460 nucleotides) under uncultured bacterium. Its description in RNAcentral is "partial 16S ribosomal RNA". It matches the Rfam family "Bacterial small subunit ribosomal RNA", at positions 338 to 795 of the family's 1533-position model. The record is from RNAcentral.